AUGAACGCUGGCGGCGUGCCUAAUACAUGCAAGUAGAACGCUGAAGGAGGAGCUUGCUCUUUCCGGAUGAGUUGCGAACGGGUGAGUAACGCGUAGGUAACCUGCCUGGUAGCGGGGGAUAACUAUUGGAAACGAUAGCUAAUACCGCAUAACAGUAGAUAUUGCAUGAUAUUUGCUUGAAAGGGGCAAUUGCUCCACUACCAGAUGGACCUGCGUUGUAUUAGCUAGUUGGUGAGGUAACGGCUCACCAAGGCGACGAUACAUAGCCGACCUGAGAGGGUGAUUGGCCACACUGGGACUGAGACACGGCCCAGACUCCUACGGGAGGCAGCAGUAGGGAAUCUUCGGCAAUGGACGGAAGUCUGACCGAGCAACGCCGCGUGAGUGAAGAAGGUUUUCGGAUCGUAAAGCUCUGUUGUAAGAGAAGAACGAGUGUGAGAGUGGAAAGUUCACACUGUGACGGUAUCUUACCAGAAAGGGACGGCUAACUACGUG
This 495-nucleotide ribosomal RNA is filed under the name uncultured bacterium. RNAcentral's name for it is "partial 16S ribosomal RNA". It matches the Rfam family "Bacterial small subunit ribosomal RNA", at positions 29 to 507 of the family's 1533-position model. The record is from RNAcentral.